GCAACAGCCUGGCAACUCAAAAACUAAAAGGCCAGUGGGUCGACCACCCAAGGCCAAUAAAAACAAGAGGACUCCCACGGGACCUGAGGCUGACCCUGAAGGCGAACCCGAGCAAACCCCCCAAGCUUCAGCAGGAGGGGAAAAUCUGAACAUCACAGUUCAGGCAAUAGCAGAGGCCAUCCGACUCCUUGCUGAAAAGGAGAAACCUUCGGAAGAACAACCUCAGAAAGGGGGACCCACAAGCAGCAAGGAACCAAGGGCUGCUGCAUCAGAAUCCACUCAUGGGUUCAUAAAAAUGCCCAUAGAAGAGC
Molecule: long non-coding RNA, 311 nt
Filed under: Zostera marina
Lineage: Eukaryota; Viridiplantae; Streptophyta; Magnoliopsida; Alismatales; Zosteraceae
Description: long non-coding RNA (ZMAR_LNC004548)
Source: RNAcentral